AUGGCAGUGGUUGAAUGCACUGCAACCACGGCGGCGAUUGUGUCCUGCAUUGGCUACAACCUCUCUGGUGAGUUCUUGGCUCCUUCUCCUACCUCUGGCUCCUACUCUUCUGCCCUGAGCUCCUGGCCAUCAAUCCACUGCUAUACCAUUCUCUGUUUCAUGGAUGAUCGAGAUGCCGUCGCACAGUUGCUGGCUGUGAAAUCUCAGUUUAGUAUUUACAUUACUGGAUUUGAUGCAUUCUUGAGCAUCAUAUGCACUUUCCUCCCACGCUGCCAACAAACGACUGUGUAUGAUUCAAAGACGUGUCUUCAUACAUUGAGCAUGCCAUUCGAUAAAAUAGAUGCAGGCUCAAAGAAUUCCGAGUCUCUUGUCAUAUAUGUUAGUUUGCUGAAUGAGUCUGAGUUGUAG
Molecule: ribosomal RNA, 408 nt
Filed under: Triticum aestivum (bread wheat)
Lineage: Eukaryota; Viridiplantae; Streptophyta; Magnoliopsida; Poales; Poaceae
Description: partial small subunit ribosomal RNA
Source: RNAcentral